AGGACAAGGCAUGCGGCUUUGCUAUCCAGCAUCCGAGCGCAGCAGAACUCCGUUUGUUGCGAGAGGGAUUUGUUUUGGUGUUUGGUCAAGUCCCUUGCACAGAGUUUUAGGGCAGGUGCUCUUAUGGAAGGAAUGCUGCUGUUGCUGCUGCAUCAACAUUCUGUUUCCACAAGCAACACCCACUUGGGUCAAUUACCCAAAUUCUGUGGCAGCACAUCAGAUGCUGCUGCUGCUGCUGUCAGAUGUGCAACGAAGUCUGGUCCCCAUCGGCGUCAACAUCUGGCGAAUGCGUGUGAAUUUCACCACGCAGGCUGCCUCGGUAGCGCACCCCACAAUCCUCUCAGCUUCUGGACCCAAUCCGCAAGGCAUUGACGCUGUAUGUUACACACCUGGUAGUACUUUUCCUGUGGUUCUUGGUUCGAAGGUUGACCUGUUGCUUUCGAGAAAUGAUGAACUCGAGGUUUUGUUCGAUUGAGUUUCGCAGUGGGUGAUCAGGGUGCAAAUUGGGGGUGAGGUGCUAAUGCAUUUGAUUUAGAAGGGUGCGUAGCGACAGAGAUGGUGAGAUCAUUCAGAAAAUUCGCGUUCUAUAGCACGAGCCACCGCCCGAAACAGCACUACGUCUUGGUGGACACUGUAAGGGGGAAGAGAAUUAGUCCUGAUGCCGCACUACAUGGCGUUCCUCCUUUGAAGACCUUCGUACAAAUUGAGCAUGUAUCAGAGCCCAAAGAGAUUGACAAGCCAGUUCAGUGCCCUCCAUCAGAAAAUAGCAUCAUUCAGGAUGGAUUGACAUGGAGGGAAAUAAUAGCAAGUUUCCGGCGCCAAAUGAAAAAGACCGGCACAUGCCAAGAAGGCGACGCCGUUGGAUGCACAGAAUCGAUUACUGAGAAUCCAAGAAGAUCAGACAGUGGCAACCUGGCCGAGAAGAAUCUAUUGGUGACGAGCAGUGCACUUGCCCGUUUAAUCACAGAAGCGCUGGAGUAAUUUGCUCGUCGGUCCCAGUAGAACUGCCUGGAGGUGCAAGGUGCACAGAUGCAUUUGUACAAUAAGCUAGACCCAGUUCAAUUUCCUAGCCUCAGUUUCCAGUUUGGCUUUGUCACAAGAGCAGGGUUGACGUGUCUUAUUAACAAGGCAUAGUCGGAUCCUUUGAGAAAUCAUGAUCAGGUCCAUUGUAGCCGAUUACACUUUUUCCAGAAUUCAGGGUUCAACUAUUAAUAAAUUCUCCGGCAUGAGUUCACUUCCAACA
Molecule: non-coding RNA, 1243 nt
Organism: Physcomitrium patens
Lineage: Eukaryota; Viridiplantae; Streptophyta; Bryopsida; Funariales; Funariaceae
Source: RefSeq, a predicted model, not a curated record